AUGGCGGCAGCAAAGUUGCUUACUUGUAUACUUAGUAGGGCAAGAAGGGAACCAAUCAAGAUGCCAUGCUUGUUUGGAAGCAAAACCAAAUUGUUUGACUUGCAGGGAGCAUCCAGCUCAGGAGCUCCUAGCUUUAAGGGGGAAACUUAUCAACCAGAUCAAGGAAAACUAAGGAAAUGCUACCAACGGGAUUCAGCAGCUAAAGCUAAAAGAAAUGUCAUUCCCUCUCGAUCGAGUCCUGAGGAUGCUCAGCUUGCUACUUUUUUCACUCACCUGCAUCAUAAGUUCCAUACGACCUUGAAGUCAUUGGAAUCGUUUCAAGCUAAGAACUCUGAGCGUGUGUUCAAUACAGUUAUGACUUACAUUCCUCAAGAUUUUCGGUGGAGGCUUAUUAGACUGUAGAGGGAGCGAUCCGAGAGGAAUGGGAGUGAUCUGAGAGGAAUAAGCAAGCUAGCAGAGAUUGAUGCUAUGAUUAGUUCUGGGGCAAGUAAACGUGAUCGUUAUGCUCUCCUGUGGAAACAACAAAUGGAGAGGAGGAGACUGUUGGCACAGUUUGUUUCUGCUACUGGUGUCUACAAAACCCUUGUCAAGUACUUGGUUGGGGUUCCACAGGUUUUACUAGAUUUUGUUCGCCAAAUAAAUGAUGAUGAUGGGCCCAUGGAAGAGCAACGACAGCGUUAUGGACCACCUUUGUACGGCCUUACAACUUUGGUGCUUCUUAUACGUCUGGCUAUUUUGCUGUCUCGGGGGCGGUUUGAAACUAGAAAAUUAAACAAGAAAGAGGUAGCUGUCUUGGAACAAUCUGUUGACGUCUACAUCACUGAGUUUGAAAGUUUAUUAGGUUUAUCAAGUAUUAAUGCUAUUUCCUCUGUUGACUUGCUAGUGUUUGAUUAUUUCUUUACACCCUUUCAUCCCAAAAAUGCGUAA
Molecule: RNA transcript, 927 nt
Organism: Rosa chinensis
Lineage: Eukaryota; Viridiplantae; Streptophyta; Magnoliopsida; Rosales; Rosaceae
Exons: 9
Source: RefSeq, a predicted model, not a curated record